GGGCUUAUAGCUAAAAGUGUUAGUUUUGCAAAAACUAAAGUGGGGUAAUCUCCUAAGUCCU
This 61-nucleotide transfer RNA is filed under the name Caryophyllaeus brachycollis. RNAcentral describes it as "tRNA-Cys". The record is from RNAcentral. Lineage: Eukaryota; Metazoa; Platyhelminthes; Cestoda; Caryophyllidea; Caryophyllaeidae.